GACGUAAGUGGCAAGCGUUGUUCGGAAUUACUGGGCAUAAAGGGCGCGUAGGCGGCGCAGUAAGUCAGUGGUGGAAGCCCUCGGCUCAACCGGGGAAUUGCCAUUGAUACUGCUGUGCUCGAGGCCGCGAGGGGUGCAUGGAACUCUUGGUGGAGCGGUGAAAUGCGUAGAUAUCAAGAGGAACGCCGGUGGCGAAAGCGAUGCUCUGGCGCGGAUCUGACGCUGAGGCGCGAAAGCUAGGGGAGCGAACAGG
This 253-nucleotide unclassified non-coding RNA is filed under the name uncultured Planctomycetota bacterium. Its description in RNAcentral is "uncultured planctomycete contains 16S-23S intergenic spacer region". It matches the Rfam family "Bacterial small subunit ribosomal RNA", at positions 524 to 776 of the family's 1533-position model. Lineage: Bacteria; Pseudomonadati; Planctomycetota. The record is from RNAcentral.